AACGAACGCUGGCGGCAUGCCUAACACAUGCAAGUCGAACGAGACCUUCGGGUCUAGUGGCGCACGGGUGCGUAACGCGUGGGAACCUGCCCUUAGGUUCGGAAUAACUCCCCGAAAGGGGUGCUAAUACCGGAUAAUGUCUUCGGACCAAAGAUUUAUCGCCUUUGGAUGGGCCCGCGUUGGAUUAGCUAGUUGGUAGGGUAAAAGCCUACCAAGGCGACGAUCCAUAGCUGGUCUGAGAGGAUGAUCAGCCACACUGGGACUGAGACACGGCCCAGACUCCUACGGGAGGCAGCAGUGGGGAAUAUUGGACAAUGGGCGAAAGCCUGAUGCAGCAAUGCCGUGUGAGUGAUGAAGGCCUUAGGGUUGUAAAGCUCUUUUACCCGGGAUGAUAAUGACGGUACCGGGAGAAUAAGCUCCGGCUAACUCCGUG
This 433-nucleotide ribosomal RNA is filed under the name uncultured bacterium. Its description in RNAcentral is "partial 16S ribosomal RNA". It matches the Rfam family "Bacterial small subunit ribosomal RNA", at positions 29 to 507 of the family's 1533-position model. The record is from RNAcentral.